RNAcentral lists this ribosomal RNA (406 nucleotides) under uncultured bacterium. RNAcentral describes it as "partial 16S ribosomal RNA". It matches the Rfam family "Bacterial small subunit ribosomal RNA", at positions 30 to 526 of the family's 1533-position model. The record is from RNAcentral.
AUUGAACGCUGGCGGCAGGCCUAACACAUGCAAGUCGAACGAGUGGCGGACGGGUGAGUAAUGUCUGGGAAACUGACUGAUGGAGGGGGAUAACUACUGGAAACGGUCGCUAAUACCGCAUACCAUCGGAUGAGCCCAGAUGGGAUUAGCUAGUAGGUGGGGUAAAGGCUCACCUAGGCGACGAUCCCUAGCUGGUCUGAGAGGAUGACCAGCCACACUGUAACGGAGACACGGUCCAGACGCCUACGGGAGGCAGCAGGGGGGAAUAUUGCAAAAUGGGCGCAAGCCUGAUGCAGCCAUGCCGAGUGUUUGAAUAAGGCCUUCGGGUUGUAAAGUACUUUCAGCGGGGAGGCGUUACCCGCAGAAGAAGCACCGGCUAACUCCGUGCCAGCAGCCGCGGUAAUAC